This 313-nucleotide long non-coding RNA is filed under the name Junco hyemalis (dark-eyed junco). RNAcentral describes it as "lncRNA (ENSJHYG00000006563.1)". The record is from RNAcentral. Lineage: Eukaryota; Metazoa; Chordata; Aves; Passeriformes; Passerellidae.
AUCUUGUCACAAGCCUGGGUAUUUCAGAGGCUGCCCCAAUGUUCAAUGCCUUCAUGAAAGAGAGGGGGCCUGUUCCCACACUAGAGUGGUCCCACCAGUGCCGUGGUCAGAAGAAGGAGAAACUGGCUAAACAACCUGAGCAAAUACAGUGAAGGACAUCCAAGACACAGCCAAGAUUUCCAGUCCUACCUAACUAUUUCAGAGUGAAGACUUGAGUAAGCUGCAAUCUGAGAACAGAAGGAGUCUGGAUAAGUUCUAGAAGUUUUUUAAAUGGUAAGACUACAAACAAAAAUUCCCAAACUUCUUGUUAAAG